RNAcentral lists this long non-coding RNA (307 nucleotides) under Cyanistes caeruleus (blue tit). RNAcentral describes it as "lncRNA (ENSCCEG00000013810.1)". Lineage: Eukaryota; Metazoa; Chordata; Aves; Passeriformes; Paridae. The record is from RNAcentral.
AGGCAGUGCUUUGAAAAUAGACAGAUGUCACAUUACUUAACUCUCCCACAGAAGCCUACGCUUGCAGGUUGUGUGUGUUUUUCAGGCCUGAAGGAAGGAUAAUCAUCUUAAUGUUUUUCAUGAACAGAGUUGUCACUGGGGGCAUGGGCCUGUGCCAGGAUGGAAUGCUUGAAGUCGUCAUGGACUGCAUGAUCUCAGAUUUCUCAACAGAAUGGAGGAAUGUGAACAGGAGACCACUUCAUUCCACUGCUACUAGAGAGCAGAAGGCCUGCAUUACUACAAGGACCCAGAAUUACUAAAGGUGAGC